This 987-nucleotide ribosomal RNA is filed under the name human gut metagenome. RNAcentral describes it as "bacterial SSU rRNA". It matches the Rfam family "Bacterial small subunit ribosomal RNA", at positions 8 to 986 of the family's 1533-position model. The record is from RNAcentral.
AGAGUUUGAUCCUGGCUCAGGAUGAACGCUAGCUACAGGCUUAACACAUGCAAGUCGAGGGGCAUCAGUUUGGUUUGCUUGCAAACCAAAGCUGGCGACCGGCGCACGGGUGAGUAACACGUAUCCAACCUGCCUCAUACUCGGGGAUAGCCUUUCGAAAGAAAGAUUAAUAUCCGAUAGCAUAUAUUUCCCGCAUGGGUUUUAUAUUAAAGAAAUUCGGUAUGAGAUGGGGAUGCGUUCCAUUAGUUUGUUGGGGGGGUAACGGCCCACCAAGACUACGAUGGAUAGGGGUUCUGAGAGGAAGGUCCCCCACAUUGGAACUGAGACACGGUCCAAACUCCUACGGGAGGCAGCAGUGAGGAAUAUUGGUCAAUGGACGCGAGUCUGAACCAGCCAAGUAGCGUGAAGGAUGACUGCCCUAUGGGUUGUAAACUUCUUUUAUAUGGGAAUAAAGUUGUCCACGUGUGGAUUUUUGUAUGUACCAUAUGAAUAAGGAUCGGCUAACUCCGUGCCAGCAGCCGCGGUAAUACGGAGGAUCCGAGCGUUAUCCGGAUUUAUUGGGUUUAAAGGGAGCGUAGGCGGAUUGUUAAGUCAGUUGUGAAAGUUUGCGGCUCAACCGUAAAAUUGCAGUUGAUACUGGCAGUCUUGAGUGCAGUAGAGGUGGGCGGAAUUCGUGGUGUAGCGGUGAAAUGCUUAGAUAUCACGAAGAACUCCGAUUGCGAAGGCAGCUUACUAACCUGUAACUGACAUUGAUGCUCGAAAGUGUGGGUAUCAAACAGGAUUAGAUACCCUGGUAGUCCACACGGUAAACGAUGGAUACUCGCUGUUGGCGAUAUACUGUCAGCGGCUUAGCGAAAGCGUUAAGUAUCCCACCUGGGGAGUACGCCGGCAACGGUGAAACUCAAAGGAAUUGACGGGGGCCCGCACAAGCGGAGGAACAUGUGGUUUAAUUCGAUGAUACGCGAGGAACCUUACCCGGGCUUAAAU